This 616-nucleotide ribosomal RNA is filed under the name Ochthebius joosti. RNAcentral's name for it is "partial 16S ribosomal RNA". It matches the Rfam family "Bacterial large subunit ribosomal RNA", at positions 1830 to 2735 of the family's 2925-position model. Lineage: Eukaryota; Metazoa; Arthropoda; Insecta; Coleoptera; Hydraenidae. The record is from RNAcentral.
GUCUUUUUGAUUAUAAUUUAAAGUCUAACCUGCCCAAUGAAUAUUUAAAUGGCCGCGGUAUUUUGACCGUGCAAAGGUAGCAUAAUCAUUAGUUUUUUAAUUGAAAGCUGGUAUGAAUGGUUGGACGAGAAAAUUACUGUCUCAAUUUAAUUUAAUUAGAAUUUUAUUUUUAAGUUAAAAAGCUUAAAUUUAUUUAAAAGACGAGAAGACCCUAUAGAGUUUAAUAUUUAAAUUAAUUUUAUUUUUUAUAAUUUUUAAAAUUAAUUUAAAUAUUUUAUUGGGGUGAUAAGUAAAUUUAAUAAACUUUAUUUUUUUAUUUACAUAAAUUUAUGAUUUAAUGAUCCAUUAUUAAUGAUUAUAAGAUUAAAUUACCUUAGGGAUAACAGCGUUAUCUUUUUAGAGAGUUCAAAUCGAAAAAAAGGAUUGCGACCUCGAUGUUGGAUUAAAAUUAAUUUUUGGUGUAGAAGCUAAAAAUAUUAAGUCUGUUCGACUUUUAAAAUUUUACAUGAUCUGAGUUUAAACCGGCGUGAGCCAGGUUGGUUUCUAUCUUUAAAAAAAUUAAAUAUUUUAGUACGAAAGGACCAAAUAUUUAUAAAAUUUAUUAAUAUUUGAAUAU